This 261-nucleotide ribosomal RNA is filed under the name uncultured bacterium. RNAcentral's name for it is "partial 16S ribosomal RNA". It matches the Rfam family "Bacterial small subunit ribosomal RNA", at positions 91 to 354 of the family's 1533-position model. The record is from RNAcentral.
CGGACCGGCGCACGGGUGCGUAACGCGUAUGCAACUACCAUCAACAGGGGGAUAACACUGAGAAAUUGGUACUAAUACCCCAUAAUAUCUCAUGCGGCAUCGCAUGGGGUUGAAAACUCCGGUGGUUGAUGAUGGGCAUGCGUUGUAUUAGCUGGUUGGUGAGGUAACGGCUCACCAAGGCGACGAUACAUAGGGGGACUGAGAGGUUAACCCCCCACAUUGGUACUGAGACACGGACCAAACUCCUACGGGAGGCAGCAG